CGAGCGGACAGAAGGGAGCUUGCUCCCGGAUGUUAGCGGCGGACGGGUGAGUAACACGUGGGUAACCUGCCUGUAAGACUGGGAUAACUCCGGGAAACCGGAGCUAAUACCGGAUAGUUCCUUGAACCGCAUGGUUCAAGGAUGAAAGACGGUUUCGGCUGUCACUUACAGAUGGACCCGCGGCGCAUUAGCUAGUUGGUGGGGUAAUGGCUCACCAAGGCGACGAUGCGUAGCCGACCUGAGAGGGUGAUCGGCCACACUGGGACUGAGACACGGCCCAGACUCCUACGGGAGGCAGCAGUAGGGAAUCUUCCGCAAUGGACGAAAGUCUGACGGAGCAACGCCGCGUGAGUGAUGAAGGUUUUCGGAUCGUAAAGCUCUGUUGUUAGGGAAGAACAAGUGCGAGAGUAACUGCUCGCACCUUGACGGUACCUAACCAGAAAGCCACGGCUAACUACGUGCCAGCAGCCGCGGUAAUACGUAGGUGGCAAGCGUUGUCCGGAAUUAUUGGGCGUAAAGGGCUCGCAGGCGGUUUCUUAAGUCUGAUGUGAAAGCCCCCGGCUCAACCGGGGAGGGUCAUUGGAAACUGGGAAACUUGAGUGCAGAAGAGGAGAGUGGAAUUCCACGUGUAGCGGUGAAAUGCGUAGAGAUGUGGAGGAACACCAGUGGCGAAGGCGACUCUCUGGUCUGUAACUGACGCUGAGGAGCGAAAGCGUGGGGAGCGAACAGGAUUAGAUACCCUGGUAGUCCACGCCGUAAACGAUGAGUGCUAAGUGUUAGGGGGUUUCCGCCCCUUAGUGCUGCAGCUAACGCAUUAAGCACUCCGCCUGGGGAGUACGGUCGCAAGACUGAAACUCAAAGGAAUUGACGGGGGCCCGCACAAGCGGUGGAGCAUGUGGUUUAAUUCGAAGCAACGCGAAGAACCUUACCAGUCUUGACAUCCUCUGACAACCCUAGAGAUAGGGCUUUCCCUUCGGGGACAGAGUGACAGUGGUGCAUGGUGUCGUCAGCUCGUGUCGUGAGAUGUUGGGUUAAGUCCCGCAACGAGCGCAACCCUUGAUCUUAGUUGCCAGCAUUCAGUUGGGCACUCUAAGGUGACUGCCGGUGACAAACCGGAGGAAGGUGGGGAUGACGUCAAAUCAUCAUGCCCCUUAUGACCUGGGCUACACACGUGCUACAAUGGACAGAACAAAGGGCUGCAAGACCGCAAGGUUUAGCCAAUCCCAUAAAUCUGUUCUCAGUUCGGAUCGCAGUCUGCAACUCGACUGCGUGAAGCUGGAAUCGCUAGUAAUCGCGGAUCAGCAUGCCGCGGUGAAUACGUUCCCGGGCCUUGUACACACCGCCCGUCACACCACGAGAGUUUGCAACACCCGAAGUCGGUGAGGU
Molecule: ribosomal RNA, 1386 nt
Filed under: Bacillus safensis
Lineage: Bacteria; Bacillati; Bacillota; Bacilli; Caryophanales; Bacillaceae
Description: bacterial SSU rRNA
Rfam family: Bacterial small subunit ribosomal RNA
Source: RNAcentral